GGGUUGUGAGGUUAAGCGACUAAGCGUACACGGUGGAUGCCUAGGCAAUCAGAGGCGAUGAAGGACGUGC
RNAcentral lists this ribosomal RNA (70 nucleotides) under Providencia rettgeri. RNAcentral describes it as "partial 23S ribosomal RNA". Lineage: Bacteria; Pseudomonadati; Pseudomonadota; Gammaproteobacteria; Enterobacterales; Morganellaceae. The record is from RNAcentral.